Molecule: ribosomal RNA, 253 nt
Filed under: uncultured bacterium
Lineage: Bacteria
Description: partial 16S ribosomal RNA
Rfam family: Bacterial small subunit ribosomal RNA
Source: RNAcentral
UACAGAGGUCCCAAGCGUUGUUCGGAUUCACUGGGCGUAAAGGGUGCGUAGGCGGUCGGGUAAGUCUGAUGUGAAAUCUCACAGCUUAACUGUGAAACUGCAUUGGAUACUAUCCGGCUCGAGGAAUGGAGGGGAGACUGGAAUACUUGGUGUAGCAGUGAAAUGCGUAGAUAUCAAGUGGAACACCAGUGGCGAAGGCGGCUCACUGGCUCGUAUCUGACGCUCAGGCGCGAUAGCGUGGGGAUCAAACAGG